This 93-nucleotide ribosomal RNA is filed under the name Enterococcus faecium. Lineage: Bacteria; Bacillati; Bacillota; Bacilli; Lactobacillales; Enterococcaceae. The record is from RNAcentral.
ACACCUGUAACCAUGCCGAACACAGAAGUUAAGCUUCUUAGCGCCGAUUGUAGUGAGGGGUUGCCCCUUGUGAGAGUAGGACGUCGCCACGCA